RNA transcript from Lagopus muta (rock ptarmigan), 6453 nucleotides. It is a transcript of the gene named ADP dependent glucokinase, with no coding region annotated. Lineage: Eukaryota; Metazoa; Chordata; Aves; Galliformes; Phasianidae. The transcript has 8 exons. The record is from RefSeq and is a predicted model, not a curated record.
CGGGGCCCGGAGGGGGCGGGGCGCCACGGAGGCGGCGUAAGGAGGGCCCCCGCGUCCAUCCCUCCCGCCUUCCUCCCCCCUCAGACGUGGCGGGGGAAGGGCCGCGCGAUGUGGCAGCGAUCUGCGUGCGUGGGCCUGCUGGCCCUGGCGCUGGGCUACCUUUGCCUACUUGGUCCCCGGCCGCCCCCCUCCAUCCUACAGCACCUCUCCGCCUCUCUGCUGGGCGGGCUGAGCCGCGCCGGCUCCCUGGAGAGCCGCAUGGUAGCGGCCUGGCAGGCGGCCAUCGUCCGCCCGGCGCGGGGCUGGGGGCGCGUCGCCGUCGGCGUCAAUGCCUGCGUCGACGUGGUUCUGUCCGGCGUGAAGUUGUUGGAGGCACUUGGUCUUAAACCCGGGUUGGGAAAGAAUCAUGAUGUCCUGAACUCCAGACAGGACCUGAGAGAAGCAUUCACUCACUUCAUGGAGAAAGGAGCGGCUGCCGAACGCUUCUUCAGCGACGCAGAGUCCUUCCAUCACAUAGCACAGACUGCCUCGCAGCACCCUGGGGCACAGCUUUACGUUGGAGGCAAUGCUGCUCUCAUUGGUCAGAAGCUUGCAGCAAAUCCAGACCUGAAGAUCCUCCUUUGUGGCCCAGUUGGUCCCAAGCUCCAUGAGCUACUAGAUGACAACGUGGUUGUGCCACCUGAAUCCAUGCAGGAAAGAGAUGAGUUCCAUCUUAUCCUGGAGUAUCAAGCAGGUGAAGAGUGGGGACAAGCGAAGGCACCCAACGCCAACCGCUUUAUCUUCUCCCAUGACCUCUCAAACGGGGCCCUCAACAUGCUGGAAGUGUUCGUGUCCAGCUUGGAGGAGUUUCAACCUGAUCUCGUGGUACUUUCAGGACUGCACAUGAUGGAAGGCCAGAGCAAGGAGGUGCGGCACAGACGUCUUAUGGAGGCGGUAGCCUCCAUCUCUGACAUUCCUACUGACAUUCCUAUACACCUGGAGCUGGCCAGUAUGACUGAUCAGGACUUUAUGAGCAACAUUGUGCAUCAGCAGGUCUUUCCCCUGGUGAACUCCAUCGGUCUGAACGAGCAGGAGCUGCUCUUCCUCACGCAGUCAGCCUCUGGUCCCCACGCCUCCCUGGCUUCCUGGAACGGCGUCCCCGACGUGGGUGCCGUCAGCGACAUCCUCUUCUGGAUCCUGAAGGAGCACGGGAAGACUGCGGACCGGGCCUCGGAUCUCACACGGAUCCACUUCCACACGCUGGCCUACCACAUCCUCGCCACAGUGGACGGGCACUGGGGCAACCAGGUGGCUGCUGUGGCUGCCGGUGCCAGAGCGGCAGGGGCGCAGGCCUGCGCGACAGAAACCAUCGAUACUAGCAGGGUCUUUCUUAAAGCUCCUCUGGAGUUUGUCACCUCCCAGAUAGAGGCUCCUUCCAAAAUAUCCUUAAAUCCAGACGAGCCAGUGGUGCAUUGGCACAGAGAAGGCAUCUCCUUCCAUUUCACGCCUGUUCUGGUGUGCAAAGAUCCCGUGCGGACCGUGGGACUCGGGGAUGCUAUCUCAGCUGAAGGACUGCUAUAUUCAGAAAUAAAUCUUCAGUAGAAGACCGAGGUCCCCUUUGUCUCCAGUACUGUACGGUGUCUGAGGAACCGUGCUGUUAUCACUAGGAUUUCAGCCGGCGCUGAUAUAGGAACAGAGUCAGGGUGCAGUGUGUUUUCUGGGUAUAACAGAAGAGCCAAAGAACAAUUCCAGGUGUAAACCGUCAGAUACAUUCCAGUCGCUUUGCAGUGACUAGAACACCUCGUGUUUAAGUGCAGAGGUUUUCAUAUUUAAUGUGAAAAUUGGCUUUUCUUUGUCUUAAGUAUUUGGGGGGGGGACACACAAUCAAAAUCCCCAUUUGGAGGAGGCCUGCUCUUUGUAACUGCACGUGGGCCUUGUCUGCUAGUGCUGGAAAAUGUGGCAGCCCUGAGAGCUUCGCGCAGCGCUGCUCAGCCCUGUCUUGCUUAUGAUAAAGUAAAAAUAGAAAACUCCUGCAUUAUCUCCUCCCAGCACAUGGCUAGGUGGCAGGAGCAAACCUUCCGCUCGCUCAGUGUGCUGAUGAAAUCUGUUCCUGACAAAAUUACCUCUCAACCUCAGUGCCCCUGCGGCGGAGGGAGCCAGAGCCCGAAAAUGUGAUGCACGCUGUACCUGCUCCUUCAGUGCACAGCAUAGCUUUGUCUCUGCCACUUCCAGUUCCUAUUUCCAUAGCUAUCAUACGGAUAUUUUCAGUGUCACAGUUAAAUGUCUGUGCAAACCUGUGCUGUACCAGGAUCGUAGGUCAUCCGAGCAGCAGGAGGAGAGUCAGGAUCACCGAGGCUGGAGCGACCUGUUUCAGCAAGGCUGCUGUAUGGCAUUUAGUGAUGUCCUCCCGGUGGAAAACACCAUUGUGAAUGCUCUGUAAGGACAAAGAUUGACAGCUGCUUGAACUUUUAUGGACGCCAUGCAAAAUGUUAUCUGUCAGCAUGUAUUUAACUGCUCCUCUCCCUCUGAGCAAAGUCGUCUGUGAGACGAGAGAAACGGUCAGUGCUGUGUUUUCCCACUGCGUGUCCCACGCUGGCCUCCUGCUGACUCUCAGUAUGUAUCUCAGUGCAGGAUCUCCCCAAGACUGGACACCUUUCUCUUCUGUGUCUUUUUACAAGUUAUUAUUUAUAAACUGUAGCGCGGGACUCGGAGUUCUGGGUUAGUCUUCCUACAGGAAAAAAACAUAACAAAUAAAAAACAUCUCCUGACAACCGUCUGCAGGUCUGAGGCCGUCAGCAGGGGCGUUGUGUGACCUUUGAUCAUGGCUGGCUGGGACCACCAGCAGCUUCCCUGGCAUCGGACCAGGCAGCGUGGAUUCUCGAGCAGGAAAGGAAAGCAAACCAAACCAAAUACACACAGCUGUCACGAGCGCUGGUCCUGCUGCUCGGCUUCCCGGCUCUCUUCCAAAAACAUUUGCUGACAGGAGGCUUGUUGGGCUGUCGUAGCCUAUUUUGGCUAUUUAAAGUCAGGUAACUGUCCCAGGGGUAACUUUGGCUUGUACUCAACACAAAUAUUACGAGUUUAGAUUCAACCUGCUUUCACGCACCUUGCUGAAAUGGAAACGGGCAGCAGGUUUUUAGCACAGGAUGAAAGAACUCCCCUGAAGUACUUUUUGAGUGGGAGGGCUGGAACUUGUCCCUGGACUGGUGUUUUCAUCCAUCCCCACUGCAGUACUGUUGCUUGGGUGCUUUGUUUUGUUUUUGCUGUGAAACAUAGCUGGAGCACAUCUGGCAGGACUUCUGUGGCCUGUUUGUCUUAUGAGUAUUCAGUGGUUUUUAAUGGACUGGAGAACCAGUGGCAUGAAGCAGGGAAAGUUUGGAUAAAAGUACGGAAUUAAGUUUAAACUCAAUGAUCAUACCACAGUAGUAGCUUCAUUUUGGGGAAAAAUAAAUACACCUGUAGAUUUGUUGGUUGAAACAGCAGGAGCAGAACUCUUAACUAAGUCUGUCUCACAUCCCACAGUCAGGCAGGGAGGAGAUUUGAGAGGGAAAUGGGGAUAUUGAAGCUUGUCCUUGUGCUUUGCUUUAAAGGUUUGAGUGGCUGGGAAGCAAACCUCUUUGCUGCAUGUUCAGCCUCACACUCCCAGACCUCACUCCUGUCUGCCUUCCCCUCUAGCAGCAGAGUCUGAUGAAACUUUAGCCAAAUUUUAUUGUAGAUGCAAAAACAAUCUCUCUCCUCUGUUCAGAGAUGUCAGAUUAAGUUCUCAAUCUCUUCUCGAUAGAUGCAGGUUGGAAACAGCACGCCUGGGCAUUGCCUUCUGCACCAGAAACCUGAGAGAGGCAUUGGUGCCAAACAGUCACUGUCCCCUUGGAAGGUGAACCUGCUACCAGCCCUCCCUGAGCUCAUAGCAGCUGAAGGAAUCAAAUCCUGGCAGCUAAGGGUGAACAAUUGCAUUAAAAUGCAAGCAGGGGAAACAAAUAUUCUGAAAGCAUCACCCGUGAUCUUGUCAGGAGAGCUGCUCAGCACAGCCUGGUUAAAACUGGAUUCAAAGCUCAUCUGUUUCAAGAACCACUGCAGAAAACUCAUUUUAGCACGGUUUGGUUUCAGAGGGUGAUGCAAGCUUUCCCUGUGGUGGAACUGCUUUCAUAGAAACCAGUCCUGGCAGACGAAUCACUUGUAUUCUGUGUCCUUUUGUAGUGUAUCUAUGUGUGGAACUUAGUCCUUAGUAAAGCUCACCGUUCUCCGUUCAGCGCUGAGGUUUGUUUGCCUCUGCAGAAAAGUCCUUGCCCCUGCCACGAGGGAAAUCCCCAGCGCUCGUGUCCUAUGCAAGGCAGGGCCCACCUCGCUCACCUCGUCUGCCCGUGACCACAAGAGGGCAAACACGGCAGUGGCUGGGUGCUGCAUCAGCCCGCAUCCCGCUGCUCCUGGCUGAAGCAAGCUCUUGCUGCCCAGGCUUCGAGAGCUGCGGCGUCUCCUGUUUCUUCCCCGAGAGGACGUCAAGUCACAGUGCGCCUCGUGUAAGCGCUUUGAAUUACCUUAUUAACUGAUGAACUUUUUUUUUCUGAAAAGGGAAACAAAAUGUCCUAAAGCGGAUGGCUUCUGCUUCCCUAGAAAUUCAGCUCAUUAUUCUUUUCCAUCUUAUGUUUUCAGUUAGGAGGGAAAAAUAAAACCAAAGCCAAAGUGAGAAUUAUGGCUGAUGCCAGAAGCGGCUUUUGGAACGCAAGUGGUGCUUUCCAAAUUGCUUCUGUGAUUUGGUACAGGCCUGCUGAAGAACCCCUUGCUUAUUUCAGUUGAAGGAACAGUCCAACCUCAUUCCCAUCACUAGAGAGCACAGAAAGCUUCUAUAAAUACACUGUGAAUUUUCUGUAUGCAAAUACUGCCGCUGCAGCCCUCGGGAGGAAGAGGAGAGGGGACGGGACAAAGCAGUGCAGUAAUAUUUAUUAUCCAACAUAAUUACAUAUUUAAAAACACCUCCUCAGACACGAAGCUCCCUUCUGCUCCCUUCCAAAGCAGAAAGUAACAAGGUGCUACUGUUCUUAUUCACAGAGAAUUAAUCAUCUGCAUAAAGCUCUGUACCUUUGAAGGAAUAUUUCUACCACCUUCACAGUGCCUCCCUCAGCAGCACGCCCCAUCAGUAACACACAGCACUUGUCCUAUAAGAGCCCCCAGCAGCCAAGAGAACAGGUGGCCCAGGUGGGACUGGGUGAGCACAGAGCCUCACGUGCCUCAGGCAGGCUGUGGUCCUGGUUCCUAUGGCCACCUAUGAGAUGAGGCUGCUCCCCCAGAGUAGUUCCUUAAUGCCACAGUCCUGAAGUUAAACCUACCCUCCUUACAACAAGCAGCUGGAGAAAAAAGCUCCCUGUGUCAGCUGUGCUGUGACCACUCUGUUCCACCUGCUGCUCCUUGAAUGGAACUUCCCAAACCUGCCACCCAUUAUGGUAAGCCCAAACAAUGACAAGCAAUGGCUACAGAAAAAUACACCUUGAACAAAAGCUUUAGGGGCUAGAGAUCAUUCCCAGCCCACCCCUGCUCUGUACUCCUGGCCUCCUGCACAGACACUCCUCGACACUGCAGUGAUCUGCAGUGUAAGAAGUUUAAUGCAAAUGAAAUAGCUGCACUGUACCUGAAUUACACUGCAGCUCGUCUGGUUUGUUUCAGUUGGCGGCUGCUGCACAAAACCUCUGAUUCCUUUUGCUCUAGCACAAGGAAAGCGUUAAAGGAGUGCUGCUGCAGGGAUGGAUUGAUAGAAAGCCAACCAGCAGAGGACAGAAGAAACGAAAAGAAGCCACAUUUGAGGUAAGCAGGUAGUUUUGGCAAUCAAAACAGACAAAGCAAAGGGAUCUUACUUUUAGUGGCCCCAGGGGAGCAGGGCAACACUUUGGGUUCCUGCACUCUAAAAACACAUCAACAUCGCUCUGGAUAAAAGCAGCUGGCCAGAAAGAGCUGCUGGAGGACGUUAAGGUAUCCAGGGCCGUGGUCAUGCUGCUUUUGCAGGCUGCUGCAGGAGGUUUCCAUUACAAACCUCACUCCACUGGAUGUGUCGAUUAUGAAACCAUGAAAAAAAACAGGAGCUUAUUUUUAAAAGCUCAUCAGGCUUAUUAGCAUAUGAGCUGAGCCUUCCUGAAGCCGCAGCUUCUUUGGGCUGAAAGCACUGCACUUUCUGCUUGGAAAAGCAAAAUCCCAAGUCCCACAGCAGCACAACUCUAUGCAGAGGGGAGGAAGAGUGAAAACUACACUUACUUAACCCAGUUACUGGUUCCUUACGUAAAGCAUGACAGGCUCAGCUUAGUUCCCCAGCACAGUUGUUUUGAGGGCCUGUGUCAAGCUCUGGAUAAAUCCCAGAUGCAAAAAACUGACAGGAGUGGAGAAAGGAAGGCUAAGAUUUUUCUCUUUGAGGAUGAAGACGUUUCUCCAACAUCUCAGUAGCACAGGGGCAUUAAGAUCUCUUGCUCUGCUCACCACAGGGCUACUUUG